UUUCCAUAGACACCAAGAACGCAGAAAUCCAUCGAGCGGAUUGUCCGAUUUUUGCUCGGGAAGAUUUUAGCCCAUUUCGACUUUUGGGCUAGAUUUCUCGAAAACCGUGAAUCCCACGAGAAAACCGAGGCCACCAGCACGCUCCAUUCGUCGAGAGCUUCGCAACGACAUAAAUUUCGAAUUUUUCCGACACCGUUUUUCGGUAUCCUCGAUUCGCGAAAAUUCGACAGUUGACCGGGUCUGCAAAUUUCGGGCCAGACAGACCCGUUACCGGAAAAGUCUCCGAAUUGGAUCGAGGUUUUGGCUAGCCCCCCAUUGUCAGACGUCCCGAGCGCGUUCCCGAAGUCGGAAU
This is a long non-coding RNA of Hevea brasiliensis (rubber tree), 352 nucleotides long. RefSeq lists it as uncharacterized. The record is from RefSeq and is a predicted model, not a curated record. The transcript has 2 exons. Lineage: Eukaryota; Viridiplantae; Streptophyta; Magnoliopsida; Malpighiales; Euphorbiaceae.